This 388-nucleotide unclassified non-coding RNA is filed under the name soil metagenome. RNAcentral describes it as "partial contains 5.8S ribosomal RNA, internal transcribed spacer 2, and large subunit ribosomal RNA". The stretch from base 1 to 120 matches the Rfam family "5.8S ribosomal RNA", at positions 35 to 154 of the family's 154-position model. The record is from RNAcentral.
GAUGAAGAACGUAGCGAAAUGCGAUAAGUAAUGUGAAUUGCAGAAUUCAGUGAAUCAUCGAAUCUUUGAACGCACCUUGCGCUCCUUGGUAUUCCGAGGAGCAUGCCUGUUUGAGUGUCAUUAAAUUCUCAACUUCAUCAGUUUUGUUAUGAAACUGUGUGCAGCUUGGAUGUGGGGGCUUGCAGAGUCUGUUAUGGUAUCCUGCUCCCCUUAAAUGAAUUAGCGAGUUUAAACUGAGCUCUCUGUCUAUUGGUGUGAUAAUUAUCUACGCCGUGGAUUGAGCUUAGACUUGCUUCUAACUGUUGUCUGAAAAGACAACCUUUUGAAAAUUUGACCUCAAAUCAGGUAGGACUACCCGCUGAACUUAAGCAUAUCAAUAAGCGGAGGA